GACGAACGCUGGCGGCGUGCUUAACACAUGCAAGUCGAACGGAAAGGCCCUGCUUGCGGGGUACUCGCGUGUCGCACGGGGGAGUAACACAUGUGUGUAAUGCCCUCCACUUCGUGAGAAGACUGGGGAACAGUGGCGAUAACACGGGAUAGGAGCUCCUUAGUGAUGUGGGUGGAUGGUUUUGUUGGGUGGGGAUGGGUGCGCUGCCUAUCAGGUUGUUGGUGGGGUAAGGGCCUACCAAGGCGGCGACGGGUAGCCGGCCUGAGAGGGUGGACGGCCACAUUGGGACUGAGAUACGGCCCAGACUCCUACGGGAGGCAGCAGUGGGGAAUAUUGCACAAUGGGCGCAAGCCUGAUGCAGCGACGCCGCGUGCGGGAUGACGGCCUUCGGGUUGUAAACCGCUUUCGCCUGGGACGAAGCGUGUGGUAAGGUAACCUAGAUAAGAAGCACGGGUUAAUUACGU
This 464-nucleotide ribosomal RNA is filed under the name uncultured bacterium. Its description in RNAcentral is "partial 16S ribosomal RNA". It matches the Rfam family "Bacterial small subunit ribosomal RNA", at positions 28 to 506 of the family's 1533-position model. The record is from RNAcentral.